RNAcentral lists this ribosomal RNA (576 nucleotides) under Salmonella enterica subsp. enterica serovar Enteritidis. Its description in RNAcentral is "partial 23S ribosomal RNA". It matches the Rfam family "Bacterial large subunit ribosomal RNA", at positions 739 to 1312 of the family's 2925-position model. The record is from RNAcentral. Lineage: Bacteria; Pseudomonadati; Pseudomonadota; Gammaproteobacteria; Enterobacterales; Enterobacteriaceae.
GGCAGGUUGAAGGUUGGGUAACACUAACUGGAGGACCGAACCGACUAAUGUUGAAAAAUUAGCGGAUGACCUGUGGCUGGGGGUGAAAGGCCAAUCAAACCGGGAGAUAGCUGGUUCUCCCCGAAAGCUAUUUAGGUAGCGCCUCGUGAAUUCAUCUCCGGGGGUAGAGCACUGUUUCGGCUAGGGGGCCAUCCCGGCUUACCAACCCGAUGCAAACUGCGAAUACCGGAGAAUGUUAUCACGGGAGACACACGGCGGGUGCUAACGUCCGUCGUGAAGAGGGAAACAACCCAGACCGCCAGCUAAGGUCCCAAAGUCAUGGUUAAGUGGGAAACGAUGUGGGAAGGCCCAGACAGCCAGGAUGUUGGCUUAGAAGCAGCCAUCAUUUAAAGAAAGCGUAAUAGCUCACUGGUCGAGUCGGCCUGCGCGGAAGAUGUAACGGGGCUAAACCAUGCACCGAAGCUGCGGCAGCGACACUGUGUGUUGUUGGGUAGGGGAGCGUUCUGUAAGCCUGUGAAGGUGUGUCGUGAGGCAUGCUGGAGGUAUCAGAAGUGCGAAUGCUGACAUAAGUAACGA